Molecule: non-coding RNA, 72 nt
Organism: Ornithorhynchus anatinus (platypus)
Lineage: Eukaryota; Metazoa; Chordata; Mammalia; Monotremata; Ornithorhynchidae
Source: Rfam
AGCAGCAUGGCUCAGUGGAAAGAGCCUGGGCUGGGGAGUCAGAGGUCACGGGUUCGAAUCCUGGCUCUGCCA